RNAcentral lists this ribosomal RNA (554 nucleotides) under Vibrio alginolyticus. RNAcentral describes it as "partial 23S ribosomal RNA". It matches the Rfam family "Bacterial large subunit ribosomal RNA", at positions 2259 to 2812 of the family's 2925-position model. The record is from RNAcentral. Lineage: Bacteria; Pseudomonadati; Pseudomonadota; Gammaproteobacteria; Vibrionales; Vibrionaceae.
UGGUGGGUAGUUUGACUGGGGCGGUCUCCUCCCAAAGCGUAACGGAGGAGCACGAAGGUGGGCUAAUCACGGUUGGACAUCGUGAGGUUAGUGCAAUGGCAUAAGCCCGCUUGACUGCGAGAAUGACAAUUCGAGCAGGUGCGAAAGCAGGUCAUAGUGAUCCGGUGGUUCUGAAUGGAAGGGCCAUCGCUCAACGGAUAAAAGGUACUCCGGGGAUAACAGGCUGAUACCGCCCAAGAGUUCAUAUCGACGGCGGUGUUUGGCACCUCGAUGUCGGCUCAUCACAUCCUGGGGCUGAAGUCGGUCCCAAGGGUAUGGCUGUUCGCCAUUUAAAGUGGUACGCGAGCUGGGUUUAGAACGUCGUGAGACAGUUCGGUCCCUAUCUGCCGUGGGCGUUGGAGAAUUGAAAGGGGCUGCUCCUAGUACGAGAGGACCGGAGUGGACGAACCUCUGGUGUUCGGGUUGUGUCGCCAGACGCAUUGCCCGGUAGCUAAGUUCGGGAUCGAUAACCGCUGAAAGCAUCUAAGCGGGAAGCGAGCCUUGAGAUGAGUUCU